Molecule: long non-coding RNA, 2315 nt
Filed under: Sus scrofa (pig)
Lineage: Eukaryota; Metazoa; Chordata; Mammalia; Artiodactyla; Suidae
Description: lncRNA (ENSSSCG00035024243.1)
Source: RNAcentral
GAACAAUCCUCAGAAACUAGUUUAAGUGUCUCCUCAGUUUACAGAGCCUACCAAAAGCAGGUUGGAGUGGGUUGAUAUACAAUCAUGCAUAUUCAUACAAUAUUUUUUAGCAUCUGUAGCAUCUGGAAAGAUUUCUCUGUUGCAUGUGAGGUGAAAGGACAGAGCAUGUUUAAGUCCGAGCUUUAAAGCAGUUGUGUUAAUUGUUAACUUUUGCUGAGUCUGUACAUUUAGAAAGGUAACAAUCGCAGCAUGUUAAGAUCAUAACUGUUAGAUUAAUGCUUGGAGGGGGGAACUGUGCUGAUGUGAAGCAUUAAGGGCUGGAUGAGUUCAGCCAGAUAUGCUGCCUCCAGUGUAUUUGUGUAAUGCUAUUUACUAGAUUUCAAAUGGACUGCUGAGAAAGACGAAAUAGAAUCUCAUGUAUUAUCUCUGUCUUGAAAAAAAAAAAAAGAUAAUGAAAUUGUUCUCUUGUUGGCAUAUAUUUUAUUAACCUUUGUGGAAUCAACUUAAAGAACAGAUACCCCUAUAGAGUUGAAACCUUUUGCUAAAGUGGAGUGUUAGUAAAUGCAUUCGUGAGUUCUAGGUGCAGUAGAAGAGGUAGGUACCUUUUUUUUUUUUUCAAACCAAAGAAUAAUAUGGCAUAUUCUAGGGCUACCUAGAGAGAAAAAAAUGCAAGGUAAAAAUGCAACUAAAUUUCUUUCUUUUCUUUACAGAGCCUGGAGAAAGUUCUUCUGGAAUUCAGUCAUAAGGAAUUAUUUGAUUUCUAUAACAAGAGACCAUACAAGCACAGCUGGAUUCCCUUACAUGAUGUUCUUGAAGACUGGUUUCUCUGUCACACUCCUGCCACCUCAUUAUUUUGCAUUGAAGAUAAACUGCCAGGUUGUGUUUUCUGAAGGAUUCACUAGCUUUCUUCUUGUAAAUUAUACAGCUUACUGCUUUGUAGACAAAUAACCGCCAAGGAAGAUCACUGUUCUGAGUGCUCAGGUUCCAAUAUGCAUUCUCUUGUUCUGAGAGCCAACAGCAAGUAAUGGUUAAGAACACUUCUGCGUUAAAGAAAAUAGCUGUGAAUAUCAUGUGGUUAUUACUGUCCUGUUUUUGUUUUAUUGCCUGACCCGUUUAUUUUUUACAUACUUGAUGAUACUUGUAGGUAUCAAGGAGGGUCCAUGGAUACAAAGUAUACUGUAUAUUUUAAAACAGGGAACUUUAGUGAUUACAUUGAUAAAAAUAAGUAGCCACAUGCAAUUAAGUACAUUAUGAUUUUUUUUCUUUAAUACAGUGAGUAUAUUUUCUUGGGAAAUAAUACAGGGAGGACAUUUUAAAUAGAACUAGUACUAGCAUAUCAUUCAGUUCCAGUGUGAGCAUCUCUGUGCACUUUAGAUUUUUCUCUACAUUUAAUGAUUUAGUAACAGUUUGGGGGUUUGUGUGCUUUUCUUUGUACUGCAAAUUAAUAAUGAUUAAUUAUUAAUUUCAUAGCAUGGGAGACAGAUCCACAUAAUGAGUAAAAAAUAAUUGUAAUGAGUGCCAAACAAAUAUCCUUAAAAUUCUAAAACAUACUUUUUACAUUCUCUUUCUAUGAAUAUGUUAAUUAAUUUCACUCAAUAAGAUUUUUUGUCUCAGAAUUAUUUGAACUGAAGUGCACAGCAUUUUAUUCUGUGGAUGUAUAUAAAUAUGAGUAUGGUUGCCUACAGAAAAUAAUAUCACUUGAAUUUUUAUGAAUGAAAUGUCUGUACUACAUUUUUUUUCUAGAGAGAAAGACAGACAUGGUGGGAGAGGACAGGAGAGAUAGGAGGGGAAGGGAGAGAGAAAAUGAGAGAGAGAGAAUAACAGAGAUACAAAUAUGACUUCACAUGAAAGAAUUGGAUUUCAGACAUACCCUAUAGUUAAACGGAGUCACUGAAUUUAAGUCACAUUUCUUAUAUGAGGUUUCUGAGUAAUAGGAAUGUUAAAUGACUCCCAGAUAUAUGUUCAGUAUAUGGAAUGUAUGCACUUACUUAUUUUAUAUGUGCUUAUAUAUUGUUGUUUAGAAGGCUUAGGAAUUUGGAUUAUUUCAGAAAGUAAAUAUUACAGUGGCUGUCCAUAGUUGGUAGACUUGAAAAGUUUUUAAACUCAAACUUCCACUGAUAGGAUAUCUAGAAGACAUGUUUAGAAUGGGAUUUGUUUCGAUAUGUAGCUGUGUGGUCCGUCUUAAAUUUUUAUAUUCUGUUCUGCUGGUCCCCAGAGGUAACCACAUGACCACUAUAAACGUUUUGGUAAAUACUCUUUCAGCUGAUUUCUUAUAUACAAAUAAACAUGCCUCAUUUCAAGUUGAAUUUAUUAGG